Molecule: transfer-messenger RNA, 356 nt
Filed under: Deinococcus ficus
Lineage: Bacteria; Thermotogati; Deinococcota; Deinococci; Deinococcales; Deinococcaceae
Description: Standard tmRNA
Rfam family: transfer-messenger RNA
About the family: Bacterial tmRNA, also known as 10Sa RNA or SsrA, is named for its dual tRNA and mRNA-like properties.
Source: Rfam by way of RNAcentral
GGGGACGCCCCGGUUUCGACGGGGAUCGCUGAGCGGAACGCCGCGAGUCGAGGAUGGUCGUGGGCCUCGUAAAUCAUCGACCAAGCCUUUAACUGGCAACAACAACAGCACCACCUUCGCCCUCGCUGCUUAAGUGAGGCAGUGACCAGGAAGCCCGGCCAUUGGCGUCCUGCGAACUUACAAAAGAUGGCUAGCCUGGGCCGACGCCUCUGAGCACAGGUGAAAUUUAAGAGGCUGGGCUGGACGGAAGCGUGUUUCUGCGCGUCCCAGAGCCGAGAUCCAAAUCAGAAACUACACUCGUAGAAGCUACCGUAACGGGUUCUCGGACGAGGGUUCGACUCCCUCCGUCUCCACCA